CAGCAGCCGCGGUAAUACGUAGGUGGCAAGCGUUGUCCGGAAUUAUUGGGCGUAAAGGGCUCGCAGGCGGUUUCUUAAGUCUGAUGUGAAAGCCCCCGGCUCAACCGGGGAGGGUCAUUGGAAACUGGGAAACUUGAGUGCAGAAGAGGAGAGUGGAAUUCCACGUGUAGCGGUGAAAUGCGUAGAGAUGUGGAGGAACACCAGUGGCGAAGGCGACUCUCUGGUCUGUAACUGACGCUGAGGAGCGAAAGCGUGGGAGCGAACAGGAUUAGAUACCCCGGUAGUCCCUGUCUCUUAUACC
Molecule: ribosomal RNA, 301 nt
Filed under: uncultured bacterium
Lineage: Bacteria
Description: partial 16S ribosomal RNA
Rfam family: Bacterial small subunit ribosomal RNA
Source: RNAcentral